AUUUCUUUAGUAUAAAAAGUAUAGUUAACUUCCAAUUAACAGGUCUUACCAAGAAGAAAUA
Molecule: transfer RNA, 61 nt
Filed under: Embiophila sp.
Lineage: Eukaryota; Metazoa; Arthropoda; Insecta; Hemiptera; Plokiophilidae
Description: tRNA-Gly
Source: RNAcentral